This 20-nucleotide unclassified non-coding RNA is filed under the name Dictyostelium discoideum. Lineage: Eukaryota; Evosea; Eumycetozoa; Dictyosteliales; Dictyosteliaceae. The record is from RNAcentral.
AGCAACAAUCUAGUUUUAAA